UCAACAUGAGAGUUUGAUCCUGGCUCAGAACGAACGCUGGCGGCAGGCUUAACACAUGCAAGUCGAGCGCCCCGCAAGGGGAGCGGCAGACGGGUGAGUAACGCG
RNAcentral lists this ribosomal RNA (105 nucleotides) under Martinezella rhizogenes. RNAcentral's name for it is "Rhizobium rhizogenes partial 16S ribosomal RNA". It matches the Rfam family "Bacterial small subunit ribosomal RNA", at positions 1 to 117 of the family's 1533-position model. Lineage: Bacteria; Pseudomonadati; Pseudomonadota; Alphaproteobacteria; Hyphomicrobiales; Rhizobiaceae. The record is from RNAcentral.